RNAcentral lists this ribosomal RNA (1474 nucleotides) under Bacillus pumilus. Its description in RNAcentral is "bacterial SSU rRNA". It matches the Rfam family "Bacterial small subunit ribosomal RNA". The record is from RNAcentral. Lineage: Bacteria; Bacillati; Bacillota; Bacilli; Caryophanales; Bacillaceae.
CCUCGGAGAGUUUGAUCCUGGCUCAGGACGAACGCUGGCGGCGUGCCUAAUACAUGCAAGUCGAGCGAACAGAAGGGAGCUUGCUCCCGGAUGUUAGCGGCGGACGGGUGAGUAACACGUGGGUAACCUGCCUGUAAGACUGGGAUAACUCCGGGAAACCGGAGCUAAUACCGGAUAGUUCCUUGAACCGCAUGGUUCAAGGAUGAAAGACGGUUUCGGCUGUCACUUACAGAUGGACCCGCGGCGCAUUAGCUAGUUGGUGGGGUAAUGGCUCACCAAGGCGACGAUGCGUAGCCGACCUGAGAGGGUGAUCGGCCACACUGGGACUGAGACACGGCCCAGACUCCUACGGGAGGCAGAGUAGGGAAUCUUCCGCAAUGGACGAAAGUCUGACGGAGCAACGCCGCGUGAGUGAUGAAGGUUUUCGGAUCGUAAAGCUCUGUUGUUAGGGAAGAACAAGUGCGAGAGUAACUGCUCGCACCUUGACGGUACCUAACCAGAAAAGCCACGGGUAACUACGUGCCACCAGCCGCGGUAAUACGUACGUGGCAAGCGUUGUCCGGAAUUAUUGGGCGUAAAGGGCUCCCCAGGCGGUUUCUUAAAUCUGAUGUGAAACCCCCCGGCUCACCCGGGGAGGGUCAUUGGAAAACUGGGAAACUUGAGUUGCAGAAAAAGAGAGUGGAAUUCCCCCUGUAUCAGUGAAAUGCGUAAAAUGGGGGAGGAACACCAGUGGCGAAGGCGACUCUCUGGUCUGUAACUGACGCUGAGGAGCGAAAGCGUGGGGAGCGAACAGGAUUAGAUACCCUGGUAGUCCACGCCGUAAACGAUGAGUGCUAAGUGUUAGGGGGUUUCCGCCCCUUAGUGCUGCAGCUAACGCAUUAAGCACUCCGCCUGGGGAGUACGGUCGCAAGACUGAAACUCAAAGGAAUUGACGGGGGCCCGCACAAGCGGUGGAGCAUGUGGUUUAAUUCGAAGCAACGCGAAGAACCUUACCAGGUCUUGACAUCCUCUGACAACCCUAGAGAUAGGGCUUUCCCUUCGGGGACAGAGUGACAGGUGGUGCAUGGUUGUCGUCAGCUCGUGUCGUGAGAUGUUGGGUUAAGUCCCGCAACGAGCGCAACCCUUGAUCUUAGUUGCCACAUUUAGUUGGGCACUCUAAGGUGACUGCCGGUGACAAACCGGAGGAAGGUGGGGAUGACGUCAAAUCAUCAUGCCCCUUAUGACCUGGGCUACACACGUGCUACAAUGGACAGAACAAAGGGCUGCGAGACCGCAAGGUUUAGCCAAUCCCAUAAAUCUGUUCUCAGUUCGGAUCGCAGUCUGCAACUCGACUGCGUGAAGCUGGAAUCGUUAGUAAUCGCGGAUCAGCAUGACGCGGUGAAUACGUUCCCGGGCCUUGUACACACCGCCCUUCACACCACGAGAGUUUGCAACACCCGAAGUCGCCAAGGUAACCUUUAGGGAGCCAGCCAGC